Long non-coding RNA from Parasteatoda tepidariorum (common house spider), 932 nucleotides. Lineage: Eukaryota; Metazoa; Arthropoda; Arachnida; Araneae; Theridiidae. The record is from RefSeq and is a predicted model, not a curated record.
UUUAUAGUAAAUUAAUAAUGGCAGCAGUUGGCAAACUCCGCGAACUUUUCGAAAUCUAUUUUUUUUUAUCUGAUAUUUAUCCGUCAAAUAUAAAUAAUAAAAUAUCUUCAUAAGAUUUUUGUAUUAUUUUGGCUGAGAUUCAGAAAUUAUGAUAAUUCUGUCAAGUUGUCACUAGUCUUUCCAAAAGAAGUUGAAAAUGUGACUGCAAGGAAGACUAGGUUUGUGGCUAUUUCAUUGAGAUUCAUGAUAGUUUGAGCAAUGUCUUUGUAUACCUGAAAUUCAGGAAUUUGGUAACAAAACUAGAGAAAUAACUAAGUUAGAUGGCUCAAAGACUUGGAACACAACUACCUAAUAUUCUGUCAAAUUGGGGAUUGGGUGCAUACUGAAAUUAUGGGUGGUAUCUUUAUGAGGAUGAAGAAGAAUUAGAUGAUUCAUCAGGAAAAUUAACCAAAGCCAAGCUCAUUGGCUUUUGGAGACCAAAGUACAAAAAUGAAACUAAGAUGCCAGAUAGAACAGUUGGAAGAUUAGAAAAACUCUAGCUGGAAACAGAAUUAAUGUAAGAUUAGCCACAAGAAUGGAGAAUACAUAAAUGAAAUUUUAAGUAUUCCACAAUAUUUUAACUUAUUUGAAUUCAUCUUUACAAACAUAGAACACUUUUCACGUUAAGAAAAAAUGCUAACUCUUAGAACUCUUGAAGGUUCAGCAGAACAUCAUUUUAGAACCGCUGUACUCUGUCAUUGGUGCGUGACCUUUUUUUCCCCUCCUAAUCACUGUCCACUUUACUCAUCAAAAUAUUUUUAGCGUCCCCUAUAAAAUAAUAAUUAUUUUAUUUGUGCCAUUUUUAGAAUUUAUUUUGUUGUUAUACAUCUGUUAUAAUGCCUUGUUAUUGAAAAUACACCUAACACCUACUGUUAUAUCGGAAACUUUUAUUA